RNAcentral lists this ribosomal RNA (193 nucleotides) under uncultured rumen bacterium. RNAcentral's name for it is "partial 16S ribosomal RNA". It matches the Rfam family "Bacterial small subunit ribosomal RNA", at positions 340 to 524 of the family's 1533-position model. The record is from RNAcentral.
UACGGGAGGCAGCAGUAAGGAAUUUUCGGCAAUGGACGAAAGUCUGACCGAGCAACGCCGCGUGAGUGAUGAAGGCCUUCGGGUCGUAAAGCUCUGUGGUAAGGGAAGAACACUGUGAAUAGGAAAUGAUUCACAGCUGACGGUACCGUUUCUAGAAAGUCACGGCUUACUACGUGCCAGCAGCCGCGGUAAU